AUUUCGUCCAUAUAACAAAUAGAAAGGGGAAUACCCAGUGGACUCAUGCCUAGUGCAGUUGUAGGCAUGCACAACUUGUGGAAGGUGUUUUUUCCACAUUUCCUUCUCUUUGUCUGCCAGCGUCCUCAACAUCUGUAAAAGUGUUCGGUUGAACCUUUCCACUGGAUUACUUUGAGGAUGGUAAGGUGAUAUUUGUGAAUGGCCUAUUCAUGCAAACUGUUUGGAGUGUACGGAAGAGCUCAUUUUCAAACUCUCGACCCUGGUCAUGAUGCUUCACCAUGCUGAGAUACUCUCUCUUUGAUCUCUUGUCCCUGGGACACCAUGGCCGUCCAGAUAUCAGCGUCAUACAAACUUUGCGUUCCAUGCAGCUCCUCCGCCGGCCUAGUUAUAAUCAUAGAGGCUCUCGUCUGAGUCGUUCUACUGCCGGUGCUGGAGUCACUGCACUUUGGUCGAACCGCAGGUGCUCACUGCCUCAUACUUCUGGUUGCCGUGGAAUCGGCCAUGGUAACCUACGCUAUCCUGAGGUUCUCUCUCAAAAACCCGCGGCGAAUGUGUGCUGUAGCACUAUGCGACUUGCUCACUUCAACACGAGGUCAAUAAACAAUAAAACGGCACUUAUCACUGACACUAUCCGUGACAGGACAAUUGACAUUCUCUGUCUCAGUGAAACUUGGCAUAAAGACAAUGACUUCAGUCUUAAUUUAAACAUGUGUGCCCCAUCUGGAUAUAAAUAUAUUGACGUGCCUCGAGCUUCUGGUAAGGGUGGUGGCUUGGCUGCAAUAUUUGUGUCAAAUAUAUCACUUGAUGUUAUCGAUGCUCCUACUGUUUCAUCAUUUGAAUGUUUGGUUUUUAAAGUCAAUGGUGCUUCACCUGUUCUUGUGCUGCUCAUUUAUCAUCCACCAAAACCUAAUCCUUUAUCUUUUUCUGAGUUUACUGAGUUGCUGACACUUCUUAGUCCACUCUGUCCGUCUAUGGUCUUGACUGGUGAUGUCAAUUUCCAUAUUGAUAAUCCAAACUGUGUCAAAACUGCUACCUUUUUGGACAUUUUGGAUGGUUUUGACAGCAUGUUACUUUUCCGACCCAUAGGCUGGGCCAUAUAUUGGAUGUGGUAUGUUCUGCUGGUGUUGGUAUCCAAUCUCUGGAUAGUAUCGACAUGAGUAUAAGUGACCAUAGACUUAUUACUUUUGACAUAAAUGUUAUGUCUUCACGAUCCAUUUCUGAGUGCACUAUCAAAUUUCGUAACAUCAAGCACAUGGACUUCACUCUUUUUUCGACUUUUGUCUCUGG
Cyprinus carpio (common carp) is the source of this 1287-nucleotide long non-coding RNA. The record is from Ensembl. NCBI's taxonomy places the organism in Eukaryota, Metazoa, Chordata, Actinopteri, Cypriniformes, Cyprinidae.